RNAcentral lists this ribosomal RNA (253 nucleotides) under uncultured bacterium. Its description in RNAcentral is "partial 16S ribosomal RNA". It matches the Rfam family "Bacterial small subunit ribosomal RNA", at positions 524 to 776 of the family's 1533-position model. The record is from RNAcentral.
GACGAACCGUGCGAACGUUGUUCGGAAUCACUGGGCAUAAAGGGCGCGUAGGCGGGCCGUAAAGUCAGGGGUGAAAUCCUCCAGCUUAACUGGAGAACUGCCUUUGAUACUGACGGCCUCGAGUGGGGUAGGGGCGUGUGGAACUGAUGGUGGAGCGGUGAAAUGUGUUGAUAUCAUCAGGAACUCCGGUGGCGAAAGCGACACGCUGGACCUCUACUGACGCUGAGGCGCGAAAGCGUGGGGAGCAAACAGG